Molecule: ribosomal RNA, 301 nt
Filed under: uncultured bacterium
Lineage: Bacteria
Description: partial 16S ribosomal RNA
Rfam family: Bacterial small subunit ribosomal RNA
Source: RNAcentral
CAGUAGCCGCGGUAAUACGAAGGGGGCUAGCGUUGUUCGGAAUUACUGGGCGUAAAGCGCACGUAGGCGGAUAUUUAAGUCAGGGGUGAAAUCCCGCAGCUCAACUGCGGAACUGCCUUUGAUACUGGGUAUCUUGAGUAUGGAAGAGGUUAGUGGAAUUGCGAGUGUAGAGGUGAAAUUCGUAGAUAUUCGCAGGAACACCAGUGGCGAAGGCGGCUAACUGGUCCAUAACUGACGCUGAGGUGCGAAAGCGUGGGGAGCAAACAGGAUUAGAUACCCCCGUAGUCCCUGUCUCUUAUAA